This 615-nucleotide ribosomal RNA is filed under the name Azospirillum brasilense. RNAcentral describes it as "bacterial SSU rRNA". It matches the Rfam family "Bacterial small subunit ribosomal RNA", at positions 129 to 780 of the family's 1533-position model. Lineage: Bacteria; Pseudomonadati; Pseudomonadota; Alphaproteobacteria; Rhodospirillales; Azospirillaceae. The record is from RNAcentral.
CCUUUCGGUUCGGGAUAACGUCUGGAAACGGACGCUAACACCGGAUACGUCCUUCGGGAGAAAGUUUACGCCGAGAGAGGGGCCCGCGUCCGAUUAGGUAGUUGGUGGGGUAAUGGCCCACCAAGCCGACGAUCGGUAGCUGGUCUGAGAGGAUGAUCAGCCACACUGGGACUGAGACACGGCCCAGACUCCUACGGGAGGCAGCAGUGGGGAAUAUUGGACAAUGGGGGCAACCCUGAUCCAGCAAUGCCGCGUGAGUGAUGAAGGCCUUAGGGUUGUAAAGCUCUUUCGCACGCGACGAUGAUGACGGUAGCGUGAGAAGAAGCCCCGGCUAACUUCGUGCCAGCAGCCGCGGUAAUACGAAGGGGGCGAGCGUUGUUCGGAAUUACUGGGCGUAAAGGGCGCGUAGGCGGCCCGAUCAGUCAGAUGUGAAAGCCCCGGGCUCAACCUGGGAACUGCAUUUGAUACUGUCGGGCUUGAGUUCCGGAGAGGAUGGUGGAAUUCCCAGUGUAGAGGUGAAAUUCGUAGAUAUUGGGAAGAACACCGGUGGCGAAGGCGGCCAUCUGGACGGACACUGACGCUGAGGCGCGAAAGCGUGGGGAGCAAACAGGAUUA